AUUAUUUCAGUAUAAUUACGCUAAUCUGAUGAAGAUACGCAGAUAAUAGAGAAAAAGAAUGGGCUAGCUGCUAAUCCACAUUCUGCAGAAGGGCAAACGACAGGAUGUGUAUGUGAUACGACAACAGGCAAUUGGCAGACAAGCUUUUUUUCUUUUUUUAAUUUUUAUGCCACUUCACUUAUUGGUGACGUGGCAUCUCUCAGCUGGAUAUUGCCACUCUGUCCUCGUGGUCUUCCCUAAUUGCUACCUCCCUAGGGAUCACCCCUAUUAGUCACGUGAUCCCUGCCUCGAACGACCGCCCCUACCUGCUGACCUGUCUCCCGAACCUAGCCCUUGCCUUCCACGUAGGCUCGGACAACCGUUUGUCCCCGAACCUAUCACUAAUUAAGAAACAAAACCAGGACUAGUAAGAAAGUAAUAAAAAACAAAAACAGACUAAUAAAAUAUAGCAAAAAAGGAAAACAUACAUUCACCUAUUCACGCUCUUUCCAGUAGCCAGUUUCAUUCAUGAGCGUUAAGAAUUAAGCCGUCAAUGCUCAGCAUCUUCUCUUAGAAGCCAAAAUCAUGAAAAAGUAAACCCCCCACUCAUCAAGAAGAAAAAGCAGAGUAGCAAGCAAGAUAUAAAGAAAGAAGAUUCAGAAGCAAGAAUCAAAGAACAAAAAAUAAGUCUUCUGUCUCUCUGGUCUUUUG
Molecule: long non-coding RNA, 690 nt
Filed under: Theobroma cacao (cacao)
Lineage: Eukaryota; Viridiplantae; Streptophyta; Magnoliopsida; Malvales; Malvaceae
Description: long non-coding RNA (TCAC_LNC000568)
Source: RNAcentral